GGGGAAUUAGGGUUCGAUUCCGGAGAGGGAGCCUGAGAAACGGCUACCACAUCCAAGGAAGGCAGCAGGCGCGCAAAUUACCCAAUCCCGACACGGGGAGGUAGUGACAAUAAAUAACAAUAUGGGGCUCUUACGAGUCUCGUAAUUGGAAUGAGUACAAUUUAAAUCUCUUAACGAGGAACAAUUGGAGGGCAAGUCUGGUGCCAGCAGCCGCGGUAAUUCCAGCUCCAAUAGCGUAUAUUAAAGUUGUUGCAGUUAAAAAGCUCGUAGUUGAAUUUCGGAAUCUGUCCGUCGGUCGGGCUUCACUGUCCGUACUGGUGUGAUGGGUUUCUACCUUCUGAAUAACCGGCAUGUCAUUAAUUUGGUGCGCCGGGGAAGCAGAACUAUUACCUUGAAAAAAUUAGAGUGCUUAAAGCAGGCUAUCGCCUGAAUAGAUUAGCAUGGAAUAAUAAAAUAGGACGGCAUGGUUCUAUUUUGUUGGUUUCUAGGAUCACCGUAAUGAUUAAUAGGGAUAGUUGGGGGCAUUAGUAUUCAAUUGUCAGAGGUGAAAUUCUUGGAUUUAUUGAAGACUAACUUCUGCGAAAGCAUUUGCCAAGGAUGUUUUCAUUAAUCAAGAACGAAAGUUAGGGGAUCGAAGACGAUCAGAUACCGUCGUAGUCUUAACCAUAAACUAUGCCGACUAGGGAUCGGACGAUGUUAAU
This 701-nucleotide ribosomal RNA is filed under the name Acaulospora sp. Its description in RNAcentral is "SSU rRNA". It matches the Rfam family "Eukaryotic small subunit ribosomal RNA", at positions 364 to 1067 of the family's 1831-position model. The record is from RNAcentral. Lineage: Eukaryota; Fungi; Glomeromycota; Glomeromycetes; Diversisporales; Acaulosporaceae.